GAUGAACGCUGGCGGCGUGCCUAAUACAUGCAAGUCGAGCGAACGGACGAGAAGCUUGCUUCUCUGAUGUUAGCGGCGGACGGGUGAGUAACACGUGGAUAACCUACCUAUAAGACUGGGAUAACUUCGGGAAACCGGAGCUAAUACCGGAUAAUAUUUUGAACCGCAUGGUUCAAAAGUGAAAGACGGUCUUGCUGUCACUCAUAGAUGGAUCCGCGCUGCAUUAGCUAGUUGGUAAGGUAACGGCUUACCAAGGCAACGAUGCAUAGCCGACCUGAGAGGGUGAUCGGCCACACUGGAACUGAGACACGGUCCAGACUCCUACGGGAGGCAGCAGUAGGGAAUCUUCCGCAAUGGGCGAAAGCCUGACGGAGCAACGCCGCGUGAGUGAUGAAGGUCUUCGGAUCGUAAAACUCUGUUAUUAGGGAAGAACAUAUGUGUAAGUAACUGUGCACAUCUUGACGGUACCUAAUCAGAAAGCCACGGCUAACUACGU
RNAcentral lists this ribosomal RNA (496 nucleotides) under uncultured bacterium. Its description in RNAcentral is "partial 16S ribosomal RNA". It matches the Rfam family "Bacterial small subunit ribosomal RNA", at positions 28 to 506 of the family's 1533-position model. The record is from RNAcentral.